CUGCCUCCCCCGCUCGCUGCGCCCUUCCUCACGACCAACCGCCGCAGCUCCCCCGCGCACCUCCCCCACGCACGUCCUUCCAUAGCAAGUCCGUGCCAUCAGCUCGCGGCUGCCUCUCUGCACGCGUCACGGCCGCCUCUCUGCGCUCGCUGCCGUCGUGACCGUCAGACGCACGCCAGGCUCGCCCAUGCUCGGGUCAGUCCGUUCCAUCGCCGCGCUCACCCACGCCUUCACGCCGCCGCACCAUCUAGAGAGCGCCACCGGUUACCAUCCACGCCUGCACAGGCACUCUGCUGCGAGGUAAAACCGCCCCGCCCCCUUUCCCGUGUCCUCGCCCGCCUGCGUCCCCACUCGACUCCUCGCCGCCCUAGCUCUGAUGGUUGACGCGAGGCCACGGUGAGGCGCGUGGCCUCUGGGCGUCAGGAGGCCGCGACGAACGGGGCCGCCCUCGCUGCCGGCGCGGUGCGCAGGCUGCACAAUCCCUUUCUUCCUCUAAUCCCCAAGGCAAUGAACGGAGCGGAUAGGAAACAGGGUCUUGUUUCCCUGCUUUUUGAGAUGUCGUCCUCGAGCAUGCGUCACGAGAUGGACCUCUUGAAGCUAUGAGGAUCUGUUUUCCAAUUUUCCUUAACAUGUCCUGGCUGUUUGAUCUAGCCAUUCUUGCAGGCUUUCUUGGUCUCUUGUGUAGCAGGAUUAUAGGUGGAGACAGUGAGUGACGGGAUGAAGGAAUUCUUUGCUUAAUUCAAGGGGCUAGCGGAAAGUAAUAACCCUCGCACUGAAUCUUGAUUUCUUCCCUCUCUACCUCCGAGCUGAUGAUCUACGCCCCUGUUUCUGAUCUAGAUGUGGGGGAAGUUUAGUUUCAGAAAAACUGCCAAUCUAGAUGGUUGUCGAGUCAUAGUUUAUCGUAGGAUUUUGCCUAAUGAAUUUGUACUCAAUCUGGUAUGUAUCUACCAAGGUGGUGUCUGAAAGGUUAGGGUAGAACCUCCUAAUGCAUAACCCUAUAAAUUCCAGUCCAUUGGCUUCAUAAAUAAGAUUUAUCACCCAAAUGUAUAUUGCCCCCACAUUUGUGUUCAUAGUUCUUGAGUCAUGACUGUUACUAUUUUCUGUAUUUCACAAGACACUCAUUGUCAUAAAAGAGUAAACAAUAAAGCAUUUCAUUCUGUAGACACCCAACUGUGGAUGUAGGCACUCUUCACAGAAAGUUGGGGAUCAUGGACAAAUAAAUACCUAAAUCUUAGCAAUAUUCCUUUCGCAGUAAGAAUUAUCCAUAAUUGUUAUUGUUUUUGUGUUUCCAGUCUCGUUUAAGCUGGAAGAGGUCAGGUUUUCUGAUAAUUGUAGGAUCCAGUAACCAAUCUUUCUUUGUAGCAUGUGCAAGAGGAGCCACCUUUAUUACUAUGAUGCCCAGCACAGAGAGCUGAGUUUAAGACCUCAGUUCAGGCAAGUACAUCGGCACCAGUAUUGCAUCAGUUCAACAUAUUUCCUGGCACUGUGGGAUCCAUCGGCUACUUUCAGAUUUUCUGGCACUCUGGGAUCCAUAGAGAAGCACAACUCAUAGAAGCGUACUCAGCAGAUUUGAGAAGAUGCAAAAAAAAAUCAUGUGACUGCAUCCUGCCACCGCUGCUUUGUCAGAGAAGGCUUCAGUUUGAAAAAAAAGAGGCAAACUAAGAGCUGCCCCUUCUUACUGCAAUAGCAGGAGAUCAUCGUCAGCCUCCAUGCCCAUCCUCAGAAACAGGUACCGAGGUACGUACGUGCACAUGUGUGGUAUGGUGAUUACUGAUUACUCCUCCUGCAGCACAAGUGCAAUUUGAUAAUCCUCUUCAGUACUACUAGACCUACGAACGAGUAGUAUACCAUGGUAACAACAAACUCCUCAAUUAGUAGUAUACUGCAAAUAUAUGAAUGAAUGCCUGUCUUGGCACUCUCCUCUUUUUAAUAUAGCAGGCAGCUCUUCUGCCGGUUUGUUUCAAAAAAAUAUAUAAAUGAACUACUAUAUGAUUUGAUAUGCCUCAAAGGCGAAGAGUGUUUAAAUGUAAUAACCCUGCAGAAAUACUUCAUUUUUUCUUAUUUUUGAUGAAGGAACAUAUGCCUCGUCGAUAAUGACGUGUGCAGAUUGGAACUCAAGGUGGAGAGUUCUAAUUGGUUGAA
Sorghum bicolor (sorghum) is the source of this 2142-nucleotide long non-coding RNA. RefSeq lists it as uncharacterized. The transcript is spliced from 5 exons. The record is from RefSeq and is a predicted model, not a curated record. Lineage: Eukaryota; Viridiplantae; Streptophyta; Magnoliopsida; Poales; Poaceae.